RNAcentral lists this ribosomal RNA (244 nucleotides) under uncultured Staphylococcus sp. RNAcentral describes it as "partial 16S ribosomal RNA". It matches the Rfam family "Bacterial small subunit ribosomal RNA", at positions 96 to 334 of the family's 1533-position model. Lineage: Bacteria; Bacillati; Bacillota; Bacilli; Caryophanales; Staphylococcaceae. The record is from RNAcentral.
CGGCGGACGGGUGAGUAACACGUGGAUAACCUACCUAUAAGACUGGGAUAACUUCGGGAAACCGGAGCUAAUACCGGAUAAUAUUUUGAACCGCAUGGUUCAAAAGUGGAAGACGGUCUUGCUGUCACUUAUAGAUGGAUCCGCGCUGCAUUAGCUAGUUGGUAAGGUAACGGCUUACCAAGGCAACGAUGCAUAGCCGACCUGAGAGGGUGAUCGGCCACACUGGAACUGAGACACGGUCCAG